Molecule: ribosomal RNA, 497 nt
Filed under: uncultured bacterium
Lineage: Bacteria
Description: partial 16S ribosomal RNA
Rfam family: Bacterial small subunit ribosomal RNA
Source: RNAcentral
GAUGAACGCUGGCGGCGUGCCUAAUACAUGCAAGUCGAGCGAACAGAUGAGGAGCUUGCUCCUCUGACGUUAGCGGCGGACGGGUGAGUAACACGUGGAUAACCUACCUAUAAUACGGGGAUAACUUCGGGAAACCGGCGCUAAUACCGUAGAAUAUAUUGAACCGCAUUGUUCAAUAGUGAAAGACGGUUUUUCGGUAACUUAUAGAUGGAUCCGCGCCGCAUUAGCUAGUUGGUGAGGUAACGGGGUACGACGGCAACGAUGCGUAGCCGAACGGAGAGGGUGGUCGGCCACACUGGGAGGGAGACACGGUCCAGAGUCCUACGGGUGGCGCCCGGAGGGAAUCGGGCGGAAGGGGCGAAAGACUGACGGAGCAGCGCGGAGUGAUGGAGGAAGGUCGCCGGAUCGGAAAACUCUGUUUUUGGGGAAGAACCAAUGUGUACGUGACUAGGCACGUCUUGACGGUAAAUAAGCAGAAAGCCACGGCUAACUACGUG